Molecule: long non-coding RNA, 236 nt
Organism: Danio aesculapii
Lineage: Eukaryota; Metazoa; Chordata; Actinopteri; Cypriniformes; Danionidae
Exons: 3
Source: RefSeq, a predicted model, not a curated record
UCAGAGUUAUGGCACGUGAACGCAUGUCACGGAGGCUGCUAAAGCACAUCACGAGACAUGUGCUCGAAGACAGACGAAGCCAAGGAGGGAAACAGCGGAAAAGACGUCCAGCACUGUUACAGAUAAUGGGACAAAGAAAACCUUCUGGAAAUAAGCAGAUAUCAGAGAAAGUUCAAGACAGAAAGAGACUAAGAGAGUAUCACCACCCUGGCCAGGCUGAGAGAGAUGAUCAUGAU